This 23-nucleotide microRNA is filed under the name Gallus gallus (chicken). Its description in RNAcentral is "gga-miR-7480-5p". The record is from miRBase by way of RNAcentral. Lineage: Eukaryota; Metazoa; Chordata; Aves; Galliformes; Phasianidae.
UUCUGAACGAGACUGAAGGAAGC